Molecule: ribosomal RNA, 631 nt
Filed under: uncultured Flavobacterium sp.
Lineage: Bacteria; Pseudomonadati; Bacteroidota; Flavobacteriia; Flavobacteriales; Flavobacteriaceae
Description: bacterial SSU rRNA
Rfam family: Bacterial small subunit ribosomal RNA
Source: RNAcentral
GAAUUCGAGGGGUAUGGUACCUUGCUACAGACCGGCGCACGGGUGCGUAACGCGUAUGCAAUCUACCUUAUGCAGAGGGAUAGCCCAGAGAAAUUUGGAUUAAUACCUCAUAGCAUAGCAACUUCGCAUGAAGUCACUAUUAAAGUUCCAACGGUAUAAGAUGAGCAUGCGUCCUAUUAGCUAGAUGGUAAGGUAACGGCUUACCAUGGCUACGAUAGGUAGGGGUCCUGAGAGGGAGAUCCCCCACACUGGUACUGAGACACGGACCAGACUCCUACGGGAGGCAGCAGUGAGGAAUAUUGGACAAUGGGCGCAAGCCUGAUCCAGCCAUGCCGCGUGCAGGAAGACGCAUCUAUGGUGUGUAAACUGCUUUUGUACGGGAAGAAACACUCCCUCGUGAGGGAGCUUGACGGUACCGUAAGAAUAAGGAUCGGCUAACUCCGUGCCAGCAGCCGCGGUAAUACGGAGGAUCCAAGCGUUAUCCGGAAUCAUUGGGUUUAAAGGGUCCGUAGGCGGUUUGGUAAGUCAGUGGUGAAAGCCCAUCGCUUAACGAUGGAACGGCCAUUGAUACUGCCAGACUUGAAUUACUGGGAAGUAACUAGAAUAUGUAGUGUAGCGGUGAAAUGCUUAG